This 253-nucleotide ribosomal RNA is filed under the name uncultured bacterium. RNAcentral's name for it is "partial 16S ribosomal RNA". It matches the Rfam family "Bacterial small subunit ribosomal RNA", at positions 524 to 776 of the family's 1533-position model. The record is from RNAcentral.
UACAGAGGAUGCAAGCGUUAUCCGGAAUGAUUGGGCGUAAAGCGUCUGUAGGUGGCUUUUUAAGUCCGCCGUCAAAUCCCAGGGCUCAACUCUGGACAGGCGGUGGAAACUACCAAGCUGGAGUACGGUAGGGGCAGAGGGAAUUUCCGGUGUAGCGGUGAAAUGCGCAGAUAUCGGGAAGAACACCCGUGGCGAAGGCGGCACUCUGGGACGGUACUGACGCUGAGACGCGAAAGCGUGGGGAGCGAACAGG